Molecule: long non-coding RNA, 289 nt
Organism: Astatotilapia calliptera (eastern happy)
Lineage: Eukaryota; Metazoa; Chordata; Actinopteri; Cichliformes; Cichlidae
Source: Ensembl
GCCAGCACGAGAGAGAAGACGGGAGAAGAAAACAUCGAACUUUCAGCAACUACGUUGUUAGGACAAAUUACAAACAUACGAUUUCAAGUGUUUUUUGAGGAUCUGUGUUUGUUCGUCAGAAAGUCUGCACGCUACUCAGCUACUUUGAAGAGAAGGAGGAGUCCAUGCUUCUCUGUGUUGAAGAUACAUGUCUGGCAGAUGAGGUACAACUGGAGCAAGUGCCUCUGACACCCACUAUUAUCAUGUGUGGUAAGUCUGUUUCAUAGCUCUCUCUCUCUCUUUUUUUUUU